CCUACGGGAGGCAGCAGUGGGGAAUUUUGCGCAAUGGGGGAAACCCUGACGCAGCAACGCCGCGUGGAGGAUGAAGUCCCUUGGGAUGUAAACUCCUUUCGAUCGGGACGAUAAUGACGGUACCGGAAGAAGAAGCACCGGCUAACUCUGUGCCAGCAGCCGCGGUAAU
Molecule: ribosomal RNA, 169 nt
Filed under: uncultured bacterium
Lineage: Bacteria
Also listed under: 1 other name
Description: partial 16S ribosomal RNA
Rfam family: Bacterial small subunit ribosomal RNA
Source: RNAcentral